AGAGCUUGCUCUUAUGAAGUUAGCGGCGGACGGGUGAGUAACACGUGGGUAACCUGCCCAUAAGACUGGAUAACUCCGGAAACCGGGCUAAUACCGGAUAACAUUUUGAACCGCAUGGUUCGAAAUUGAAAGGCGGCUUCGGCUGUCACUUAUGGAUGGACCCGCGUCGCAUUAGCUAGUUGGUGAGGUAACGGCUCACCAAGGCAACGAUGCGUAGCCGACCUGAGAGGGUGAUCGGCCACACUGGGACUGAGACACGGCCCAGACUCCUACGGGAGGCAGCAGUAGGAAUCUUCCGCAAUGGACGAAAGUCUGACGGAGCAACGCCGCGUGAGUGAUGAAGCUUUCGGGUCGUAAAACUCUGUUGUUAGGGAAGAACAAGUGCUAGUUGAAUAAGCUGGCACCUUGACGGUACCUAACCAGAAAGCCACGGCUAACUACGUGCCAGCAGCCGCGGUAAUACGUAGUGGCAAGCGUUAUCCGGAAUUAUUGGGCGUAAAGCGCGCGCAGUGGUUUCUUAAGUCUGAUGUGAAAGCCCACGGCUCAACCGUGAGGUCAUUGAAACUGGAGACUUGAGUGCAGAAGAGAAAGUG
Molecule: ribosomal RNA, 593 nt
Filed under: Bacillus sp. SAWW1
Lineage: Bacteria; Bacillati; Bacillota; Bacilli; Caryophanales; Bacillaceae
Description: bacterial SSU rRNA
Rfam family: Bacterial small subunit ribosomal RNA
Source: RNAcentral